This 69-nucleotide small nuclear RNA is filed under the name Rattus norvegicus (Norway rat). Its description in RNAcentral is "U4 spliceosomal RNA". It matches the Rfam family "U4 spliceosomal RNA", at positions 1 to 69 of the family's 138-position model. Rfam says of the family: U4 small nuclear RNA (U4 snRNA) is a component of the major U2-dependent spliceosome. The structure of U4 snRNA from yeast and human has been reported. Lineage: Eukaryota; Metazoa; Chordata; Mammalia; Rodentia; Muridae. The record is from Rfam by way of RNAcentral.
AGCUUUGCUCAGGGACCGUACUGUAGUCAAUGAGGUUUAUCCGAGGCGUGAUUAUUGCUAAUUGAAAAA